UACGUAGGUGGCAAGCGUUAUCCGGAUUUACUGGGUGUAAAGGGCGUGUAGGCGGGAGAGCAAGUCAGACGUGAAAUUCCAGGGCUCAACCCUGGAACUGCGUUUGAAACUGUUCUUCUUGAGUGAUGGAGAGGUAAGCGGAAUUCCUGGUGUAGCGGUGAAAUGCGUAGAUAUCAGGAGGAACACCAGUGGCGAAGGCGGCUUACUGGACUGUAACUGACGUUGAGGCUCGAAAGCGUGGGGAGCAAACAGG
This 253-nucleotide ribosomal RNA is filed under the name uncultured bacterium. RNAcentral describes it as "partial 16S ribosomal RNA". It matches the Rfam family "Bacterial small subunit ribosomal RNA", at positions 524 to 776 of the family's 1533-position model. The record is from RNAcentral.